Molecule: long non-coding RNA, 606 nt
Organism: Musca domestica (house fly)
Lineage: Eukaryota; Metazoa; Arthropoda; Insecta; Diptera; Muscidae
Exons: 3
Source: RefSeq, a predicted model, not a curated record
CAUUUGUAAUUUCUCAUUGUUCAUUUCGAGGCAGUCUUUUACGAAAAUGGCGCGUUUUUUUCUAGCUGAAUAUUGUGUUUGUGCGAAAGUACGGCUUGAUUUAAUCCCUUCCUGUAAAAUCUUAAGAGAAAAGUAGAGGUGUGGCGCGGCCAUACAUUGGCAUAAAGGAGGGCAUCUUUUUUAAAUGGCGUAUUCCAUGGUCUUGGAAAUGGAGAUGUUCUACAAUCUUUUAGAAAUGUGAUGCCGCUAUUGAUUGCCACAAAGGCCUUCUUAAAAUGAUGCAUGCCAUCGUCUUGGAAACGGAAUCCAACUACGCAAGCAGCAAUGCAUCCAAAGGAGUGAGAGGCAUUCGAAAACCAUACCAGGACAUUAUUCAAAAAUUAAAUUUGGAAACGUAAUCGGCGCGGAAGGAAAAAAAUAUACCAGCAGACAAACAUGCUACGAUCUUGCACAUUCAAUUUAUAAGCAUAAUUAAUGCUAGAAUUUAUUAUUGAAAUUAAAUAAAACGAAAUAUCAAAUGUCAUUUAUCUAUUAAGUAGCUUAAAUUGUUUCCCGGUUGAAUGUUUUAUUGAUCUCGCUAUGGAAAUGAAUGAAAAGUAAAUUAUA